Molecule: ribosomal RNA, 491 nt
Filed under: uncultured bacterium
Lineage: Bacteria
Description: partial 16S ribosomal RNA
Rfam family: Bacterial small subunit ribosomal RNA
Source: RNAcentral
AGUGAACGCUGGCGGUAGGCCUAACACAUGCAAGUCGAACGGCAGCACAGUAAGAGCUUGCUCUUACGGGUGGCGAGUGGCGGACGGGUGAGGAAUACAUCGGAAUCUACUUUUUCGUGGGGGAUAACGUAGGGAAACUUACGCUAAUACCGCAUACGACCUACGGGUGAAAGCAGGGGAUCUUCGGACCAUGCGCGAUUGAAUGAGCCGAUGUCGGAUUAGCUAGUUGGCGGGGUAAAGGCCCACCAAGGCGACGAUCCGUAGCUGGUCUGAGAGGAUGAUCAGCCACACUGGAACUGAGACACGGUCCAGACUCCUACGGGAGGCAGCAGUGGGGAAUAUUGGACAAUGGGCGCAAGCCUGAUCCAGCCAUACCGCGUGGGUGAAGAAGGCCUUCGGGUUGUAAAGCCCUUUUUUUGGGAAAGAAAAGCAGCAGGUUAAUACCCCGCUGUUCUGACGGUACCCAAAGAAUAAGCACCGGCUAACUUCGU